CAGCCGCCGCGGUAAUACGAAGGGUGCAAGCGUUACUCGGAAUUACUGGGCGUAAAGCGUGCGUAGGUGGUGGUUUAAGUCCGUUGUGAAAGCCCUGGGCUCAACCUGGGAAUUGCAGUGGAUACCGGAUCACUAGAGUGUGGUAGAGGAUAGUGGAAUUUCCGGUGUAGCAGUGAAAUGCGUAGAGAUCGGAAGGAACAUCUGUGGCGAAGGCGACUAUCUGGGCCAACACUGACACUGAGGCACGAAAGCGUGGGGAGCAAACAGGAUUAGAUACCCCAGUAGUCCCUGUCUCUUAUAC
This 301-nucleotide ribosomal RNA is filed under the name uncultured bacterium. RNAcentral describes it as "partial 16S ribosomal RNA". It matches the Rfam family "Bacterial small subunit ribosomal RNA", at positions 509 to 807 of the family's 1533-position model. The record is from RNAcentral.